CAUCUCCAGUCCAACAGCAAGCGGGCGUGAUAGUUGGCACUGUGGUUGCUGUACUCGUUUUGCUCAUAUUGGCCGUGAUAACUGCAAUUGUUACUCGUCGCUUCAGAAAGUCGAAAAGUGGAAGACAUGUACCUAACCGAGAGACAGCAGCAACAGGUGGGAUAACUGAGAUGAAGAACCUAAACUCGCAACCCCGAGGGAGGCCCCCGGCCACGGAAAGCAGUAUCUAUGAAGUUCCUGAUCAUCAAGCAAAUCAAACACCAAUCUACACAGACCUACAGCCCCAUAAUGCCUUGCGAUGAGUCCUGACAAGAAAUAUCGAAAGCGGUAGUGAACAUUAUUCAAGCGUGUGAAUAUCGUUUUCUUUUUCCCAUGACAUCCCGACAUAAUAAAUACCAGCAGACUUCCUUUGCUAGAUGAAAAUCGGUAAAACUUCGAAUAUGUAGAAUCUGUCCACUUUCAUUAAGAUUGCAAUUUUAUUGCCAAUAACUAUAGGUAGAAUUUUUUUUUACAAAAAGUGUAUAUAAUCCUAUUGUAAAAUCUUGCAUGAAAAUUUGACACUAUUGUACAUAAAAUCCUAUUGAUACACCAUUAUAAUAAAUAUAAAUAUUCAUUAUAUUCAAUAUUCAUUAUAAAUACUGAAUGUGCACAUGAAAUAAGAACAUACCCCAUCUAAUAUCUGUGUACAUAAAAUGCACCAGAUGUUCAGUGUAUCACCAAAUGUGCCAAUAGCAUUUUCGAGGUUGCGUAUUCUGAGAUCGGGUAUCAUGUGCGUUUUCAUGUUGAGUGAUAUCAGUGCAUGUCAUUCUAUUUUUUUUAGACUAAACUUGAUAGUUUUUAUGAAGUCAUUGUCUUGGAUUUUUAGUGUAGGUUAUAUAUACUAGUAUAUAUUUGUAGGUUAGAGCUGUACAGGGUAGUAAACACCCUGACACUAAGAAUACAGACAACUCAUUGCGACAGCUAUCUAGGUGUCAUUGUGACAGCUAUCUCACCUAACACAAUGCUAGCGUGUAGGUCCAUUUGGAUUGAGGCUGUGAAGAGAGAAUCGUAGCUCGUAUUUCGCGCAUAUG
Lingula anatina is the source of this 1070-nucleotide long non-coding RNA. Lineage: Eukaryota; Metazoa; Brachiopoda; Lingulata; Lingulida; Lingulidae. The record is from RefSeq and is a predicted model, not a curated record.